This 27-nucleotide transfer RNA is filed under the name Sceloporus occidentalis. RNAcentral's name for it is "partial tRNA-Met". Lineage: Eukaryota; Metazoa; Chordata; Lepidosauria; Squamata; Phrynosomatidae. RNAcentral also lists the same sequence under 8 other names. The record is from RNAcentral.
AGUAAAGUCAGCUAACAAAGCUAUUGG